UACGUAGGGUGCAAGCGUUAAUCGGAAUUACUGGGCGUAAAGCGUGCGCAGGUGGUCAUGCAAGGCAGAUGUGAAAUCCCCGGGCUUAACCUGGGAACUGCAUUUGUGACUGCACGGCUAGAGUGCGGCAGAGGGGGAUGGAAUUCCGCGUGUAGCAGUGAAAUGCGUAGAUAUGCGGAGGAACACCGAUGGCGAAGGCAAUCCCCUGGGCCUGCACUGACGCUCAUGCACGAAAGCGUGGGGAGCAAACAGG
RNAcentral lists this ribosomal RNA (253 nucleotides) under uncultured bacterium. RNAcentral's name for it is "partial 16S ribosomal RNA". It matches the Rfam family "Bacterial small subunit ribosomal RNA", at positions 524 to 776 of the family's 1533-position model. The record is from RNAcentral.